ACUCAACACGGGGAAACUCACCAGGUCCAGACACAGUGAGGAUUGACAGAUUGAGAGCUCUUUCUUGAUUCUGUGGGUGGUGGUGCAUGGCCGUUCUUAGUUGGUGGAGUGAUUUGUCUGCUUAAUUGCGAUAACGAACGAGACCUUAACCUGCUAAAUAGCCCGUACUGCUUUGGCAGUUCGCCGGCUUCUUAGAGGGACUAUCGGCUCAAGCCGAUGGAAGUUUGAGGCAAUAACAGGUCUGUGAUGCCCUUAGAUGUCCUGGGCCGCACGCGCGUUACACUGACAGAGCCAGCGAGUACCUCCUUGACCGGAAGGUCCGGGUAAUCUUGUUAAACUCUGUCGUGCUGGGGAUAGAGCAUUGCAAUUAUUGCUCUUCAACGAGGAAUCCCUAGUAAGCGCAAGUCAUCAGCUUGCGUUGAUUACGUCCCUGCCCUUUGUACACACCGCCCGUCGCUACUACCGAUUGAAUGGCUCAGUGAGACCUUCGGACUGGCCCAGAGAGGUGGGCAACUACCACUCAGGGCCGGAAAGUUGUUCAAACUUGGUCAUUUAGAGGA
This 560-nucleotide ribosomal RNA is filed under the name Microascaceae sp. BFW1. RNAcentral's name for it is "SSU rRNA". It matches the Rfam family "Eukaryotic small subunit ribosomal RNA", at positions 1198 to 1780 of the family's 1831-position model. Lineage: Eukaryota; Fungi; Ascomycota; Sordariomycetes; Microascales; Microascaceae. The record is from RNAcentral.